CGGCUAACUCCGUGCCAGCAGCCGCGGUAAUACGGAGGGUGCGAGCGUUAAUCGGAAUUACUGGGCGUAAAGCGCGCGUAGGCGGCUUUGUUAGUCAGAUGUGAAAGCCCUGGGCUCAACCUAGGAACUGCAUUUGAUACUGCGGAGCUAGAGUAUGGUAGAGGAUAGUGGAAUUCCAGGUGUAGCGGUGAAAUGCGUAGAUAUCUGGAGGAACAUCAGUGGCGAAGGCGACUCCCUGGCCAAAGACUGACGCUCAUGUGCGAAAGUGUGGGUAGCGAACAGGAUUAGAUACCCUGGUAGUCCACGCCGUAAACGAUGAAUGCCAGACGUCAGGGGGCUUGCCCUUUGGUGUCACACCUAACGGAUUAAGCAUUCCGCCUGGGGAG
RNAcentral lists this ribosomal RNA (386 nucleotides) under Eutreptiella gymnastica. RNAcentral's name for it is "partial Bacterial small subunit ribosomal RNA". It matches the Rfam family "Bacterial small subunit ribosomal RNA", at positions 494 to 880 of the family's 1533-position model. The record is from RNAcentral. Lineage: Eukaryota; Euglenozoa; Euglenophyceae; Eutreptiales; Eutreptiaceae.